GUGUCGUCUGCCCAGGAACGAUGCCAGACGGACCUGCCAGAUAUUGUACACGUCAAAGAGAAUGACGUCGUAGGUACCCAACUCUUCAACGUGAGCUCCCCCGGGGAGACUAGCUGGUGGCUGACCAUCGAGGACCCCCAACAGAAAAUCUUUGCUCAGCUACUUCCGGUUCUCCCGGGAUGGUGACGUGUACGUUCUCAGACUGGUCAAGCAGCUGGACAUCGAGGAGAUAUUUCGCACUAUGGGCGUGAAGCUGUCCGUGAUUUUGUUGACGCUCGGCUGUCAGACAACUCGAUUACCCAGUACG
This is a long non-coding RNA of Physella acuta, 307 nucleotides long. RefSeq lists it as uncharacterized. The record is from RefSeq and is a predicted model, not a curated record. NCBI's taxonomy places the organism in Eukaryota, Metazoa, Mollusca, Gastropoda, Physidae.